Molecule: RNA transcript, 4119 nt
Organism: Cryptomeria japonica (Japanese cedar)
Lineage: Eukaryota; Viridiplantae; Streptophyta; Pinopsida; Cupressales; Cupressaceae
Gene name: pentatricopeptide repeat-containing protein At4g13650
Exons: 2
Source: RefSeq, a predicted model, not a curated record
UGCCCUGCAAAUUGCACUUCUCCCGCAGCCCCUGUUAUGAAUGGAUUUCUCGCGCUUGUAGAUGUGAAACCUCUGAUUUGUUCAAUUGGUGUGGUCUAAAAUUGACCUCCAUUUGAUCUGAGUUUACAAGUAUUUGGUUCCGAGUUUAGAUAAAUUCUAUGAUAUUCAAAUUUUACAAAUGAAACCGUGAAAAAUAGAUUUCUGGCACAUCAUGAAAUGGGAACCUGCAAGCAAUUGCAAGGAUGCCGAGUGAUAUUACUGACAUCAACUUCGCACAAAGGCUACCAGCAAGAUUAGAAUGCAUAUAUUUGUCUUUUCUUCACAUAUCCAAAAAAAAAUUACGGAACAAGAUGGGUAAUGUUUAUAAGAAAAACGUCCAAGGAUGUUAAAGCUUUUCAGACAGCAGGGUAAGUGCAAAUUUAUGCCGUUGUUUCACUUACAGCAUCAAGGGGUUACUACAGCACAGCAUAUUUGCGUCAGUGAACAUAACAUUAAAGAUUACAUUCAAUUCUUGCAGACUUGCAUUAAGGAGAAAGACAUAGCAGGGGGCAAAUUAAUGCACGCUCGCAUAAAUGUGAUAGGAUUUACCUCAAAUACAGUUUUACAUAAUGUGGUGGGCAACAUGUAUGUGAAAUGUGGGAAUGUGGAGGACGCUCGUAAAGUCUUCGAUCGAACUUCUGAGCGAGACGAAUGCUCGUGGAGUGUCAUGAUUUCAGGUUAUGCAGCGCAGGGCUUUCCUCACAGAGCAUUGGCACUGUUCCAGCAAAUGCAAACAAGCAGCCUUCAGCCCAGUCACUUUACGUUUUCCGCCAUUAUUUCUGCAUGUACAUCUCUUGAACAAGGUAUGGAGAUCCAUGGACAUUUGAUUAAAAGUGGGUUUGACUGCCAUGUUUCUGUAUGCAAUGCCCUUGUCGAUUUGUAUGGAAAAUGUGGAUAUAUCGUGGAUGCCCGCCAAGUGUUUGAUAAAAUGUCUUUGCGAGAUGCUGUGUCUUGGACUAUUAUUAUUUCUUCUUAUGCAAGGAGAGAACCUUGCGAGGAAGCUUUGAGUCUGUUUCGGCAAAUGAAGCAGUCAGGCUUCCAGCCAUGUCAGUUUGUAUAUUCAGGGGUGAUUUCGGCAUGUGCACGUCUGGGAUUGCUAGAAGAGGGUGUGGAAAUCCAUGAGGAGAUCAUUAGGAAGGGAAAUGAGUUUCAUAUCUCUGUGGCCAAUGCUCUUGUAGAUAUGUAUGUGAAAUGUGGAAUGAUACGAAAGGCGCGAGACUUGUUUGACAAAAUACCCCAACGAGAUGUUGUCUCAUGGACUGUGAUGUUUUUGGCUUAUACAAAGCAAGGGUUUGCUGAAGAGGCGUUGGCACUGUUUUGGAAAAUGAGAGAAACAGGCUGCAGGCCUAAUGAGCUCACCUUUGCUAGUGUUCUUCCGGCAGUUGCCAACAUGGGAUCUCUCAAGCUCGGUACGCAAUUCCACGAAGAGAUAUUGAGAUGUGGAUUCCAGACUUAUGUCUCUGUUGCAAAUGCAUUGAUUGAUAUGUAUGCAAAAUGUGGUAGCAUAGAGAAGGCGCAGGAUGUGUUUGCUCAAAUGCAUCAAACCGAUGUGGUUUCAUGGAAUACAAUGAUUACAGGACUUGCACAUAACGGAUUUCUUGAGGAGGCUCUAAAACUGUUUAACAAAAUGCCUCGACGUGAUGUGAUAUCUUGGAAUGCAAUUAUUGCAGGGUAUAUGCAGAAUGGAUUUGUUGAAGAAGCUGUGAAACUGUUUAACGAAAUGCCCGAAAGAAGCAUAGUUUCGUGGACAACGAUGAUUUCAGGAUAUGCACAUAAUAGAUUUCUCGAUGAGGCCCUGAAGCUCUUCGAGGAAAUGACUAUACGAGACACUGUCUCAUGGAACGCAAUGAUUGCAGGAUUAGGGCAUAAUGGUUAUGACGAUGAGGCCUUGAAGCUUUUUCAACAAAUGCACUUAGCUGGUGUAAGGCCAAACUCGGAAACCUUUUCUACUGUGCUACCUGCCUGUGCAAAAUUGGCAGCUCUAGGACAUGGGGUGGAAAUCCAUGAAAAAGUAAUAAGAAGUGGGUUUCACACAGAUGUUCUUGUGCGUAAUGCCUUGAUAAAUAUGUAUGCAAAAUGUGGUGAUAUUCAGAAGGCAAAUGAAAUAUUUGAAAGAAUGCAUCAAAGAGAUUCAGUCUCCUGGACAUCUAUGAUUACAGGGUUCGCGAUGCAUGGUUAUGGCAAGAAAUCCCUUGACCUCUUUGAGCAAAUGAAAUUUUCUGGUAUGACACCAGAUCAUAUCACCUUUCUUAGUAUUUUGUCUGCAUGCAGUCAUGCAGGUUUGGUGGAUGAGGGCUAUAAGUACUUCGAUUGCAUGAGAACGUAUUAUAAUAUCAACCCUACUAUGGAACACUAUAGAUGCAUGGUUGACCUUCUUGGGCGUGCUGGCCAUCUGGAUGAAGCAAUCGAUUUCAUCUACAAAAUGCCAGUAAAACCCAAUGGCGCCAUCUGGAGUUGUUUGAUGGGUGCUUGUAGGAUACACAGUAAUGUGGAUUUAGGAGAAUAUGUGGCAGGACGAAUUUUUGAAUUGGAGCCUCAAAAUGCAGCACCUUAUGUGCUUCUUAUGAAUAUCUAUGCUGCAGCUGGCAGGUUGAGUGAGAUUGAAACUAUAAGGCAAAUGAUGAACGACAGGGGUGUAAAAAAGACACCCGGAUACAGUUGGAUUGAGAUCAAUGAACAUGUAAAUGCUUUUUCUGUAGGAGAAAGGUUGCAGACAGAAAAUUGAAAAAAAGGUGGCGACAUUAUCUUGGAAAAUCAAUGUAGUAUAUCUAUUGCUGUUCGAGUUCUGUGAUGAAUAACAGAAUAAGUUAAUGAACAUGGGAACGAAUUCUUUUGACACCAACUAGAUUGAAAAGCUAGUGUUACCAUUCAGGUACUUAUAUGAUAUUAAACAAUCGCCUCGAAUAGCUAAUGAGACAUCCCAUGACUUCUGAGGUCUAAAAGAAAUCCCCUUGGGCCAUCAGUAAACUGUAUGUGAACAGUGAAAUUGACACACUGAACCAACUCUUUCUCCAUGAUUUUUCAAUGGAAAACUGCUCUCAGGGUGCAAAUUUUAGUUUUAUGGAGAAAAUUCCACUCACAAGAUAAAAAAUAGAAAUCUUGAGUAUCAUCAGAAAAUAAGAUAAGAAUGUGUCCUACUCUACAGCAGCAGCCAGCUUCCCCCAACAUCUGAGAACAUCUGGAGGGAUCAACAAUUGACAGUCUUGGAAGAGAUAUACAUGUACACAAUCCAUUUUAUUGUGGAGCACAACAAAAGAUUAAAAGGCAGAAGUUGAACUACAAUUCUGAAAACUCCGGCAAAACCAUCUCAAGAUCUAGUAAUUGCAGAAGUCAAAUUUGGAAUUAUUCUCAAACGCUGUUAAGUUUGAAAUUAUUCUCAACACUGUAAAAUUGAAUGACCCGAAAGAUCUUUGAUUUGUCUAUACUACAGCAAUUUACGUUUGAUACAACAAAGGGUUAGCUCUGCAGGAGCAGAAAUGAUUUGAGUAUGAGAUGUAAAUCCUAUUAAUCUCAAUCAAAUUGAAGACUACCUACAAAGUCUCCAGAUCACGGAAGCUGGAUGAAGCUUGAAGUUUCAAUAUCUCUCAACUGUUCUUUACACUGCUGUAGAGCAUUUAAACUCUCUUCAGAAGAGCCAGCGGGUGUCUUGGAUGCCACUUACAAUAAAAUUUAUCACCAAGCUUGCUGCUGAUCCUCGUAGAGCAUGCAAACAAUGAGAUUGUAUCAAGAGAUGAAGGUAGGACUUAUCUGCCAAUAUGCUGCAUGCUGAAUGAUGCGGAGGAGGAACAAAUUACCCGCUACCACAGCAAGGCAAUUUGAAUGCCAUUUAUGCUGUUACACAAUUACCCUGCGUUAACAAGUAUUAUUAAUCUUGGAAUAUGCAGCAACUGCCACUUGAAGCCAAAUUUCUAUCCAAGAUUGUUGCACGAGAUAAUGAACCAGAGAUCAGUUUUGUUUCCUAUUAACGCUCAUUCAUGGAACGUUUCCCUGUCCUUGGAUUUGUUCUAUUUUGAGAAAAACCUCCCAGGUCUGAAAUAAUUUAGGCGAUCCAAACUCUCAGAUAAAUAAAAUGAAGGCAUU